RNAcentral lists this ribosomal RNA (370 nucleotides) under Isochrysis galbana. RNAcentral's name for it is "partial Bacterial small subunit ribosomal RNA". It matches the Rfam family "Bacterial small subunit ribosomal RNA", at positions 407 to 793 of the family's 1533-position model. The record is from RNAcentral. Lineage: Eukaryota; Haptophyta; Isochrysidales; Isochrysidaceae.
GAUGAAGCCCCUCGGGGUGUAAACUGCUGUCAGGGUUCAGCAACACAAUGAGCAGACCCAAAGGAAGGGCCGGCUAACUUCGUGCCAGCAGCCGCGGUAAUACGAAUGGAGCAAGCGUUGUUCGGAAUAACUGGGCUUAAAGCGUAUGUAGGCGGAUCAUAAAGUCAGGAGUGAAAUCCCGAGGCUCAACCUCGGAACUGCUCUUGAAACUCAUGGUCUAGAAUACUGGAGAGGUUGGGAGAAUUCCUAGUGUAGAGGUGAAAUUCGCAGAUAUUAGGAGGAAUACCAGUGGCGUAGGCGCCCAACUGGACAGUUAUUGACGCUCAGAUACGAAAGCGUGGGGAGCAAACAGGAUUAGAUACCCUGGUAG